This 253-nucleotide ribosomal RNA is filed under the name uncultured bacterium. Its description in RNAcentral is "partial 16S ribosomal RNA". It matches the Rfam family "Bacterial small subunit ribosomal RNA", at positions 524 to 776 of the family's 1533-position model. The record is from RNAcentral.
UACGUAGGUGGCAAGCGUUGUCCGGAAUUAUUGGGCGUAAAGCGCGCGCAGGCGGUCCUUUAAGUCUGAUGUGAAAGCCCACGGCUCAACCGUGGAGGGUCAUUGGAAACUGGGGGACUUGAGUGCAGAAGAGGCAAGUGGAAUUCCCGGUGUAGCGGUGAAAUGCGCAGAUAUCGGGAGGAACACCUAUGGCGAAGGCAGCUUGCUGGGACGGCACUGACGCUGAGACGCGAAAGCGUGGGGAGCGAACAGG